RNAcentral lists this ribosomal RNA (767 nucleotides) under Pseudoalteromonas sp. RNAcentral's name for it is "bacterial SSU rRNA". It matches the Rfam family "Bacterial small subunit ribosomal RNA", at positions 28 to 797 of the family's 1533-position model. The record is from RNAcentral. Lineage: Bacteria; Pseudomonadati; Pseudomonadota; Gammaproteobacteria; Alteromonadales; Pseudoalteromonadaceae.
AGGGGGCAUUGGGGCGGACUACCAUGCAGUCGAGCGGAACAAAUAGUAGCUUGCUACUCUGGCGUCGAGCGGCGGACGGGUGAGUAAUGCUUGGGAACAUGCCUUGAGGUGGGGGACAACAGUUGGAAACGACUGCUAAUACCGCAUAAUGUCUACGGACCAAAGGGGGCUUCGGCUCUCGCCUUUAGAUUGGCCCAAGUGGGAUUAGCUAGUUGGUGAGGUAAUGGCUCACCAAGGCGACGAUCCCUAGCUGGUUUGAGAGGAUGAUCAGCCACACUGGGACUGAGACACGGCCCACACUCCUACGGGAGGCAGCAGUGGGGAAUAUUGCACAAUGGGCGCAAGCCUGAUGCACCCAUGCCGCGUGUGUGAAGAAGGCCUUCGGGUUGUAAAGCACUUUCAGUCAGGAGGAAAGGUUAAUAGUUAAUACCUGCUAUCUGUGACGUUACUGACAGAAGAAGCACCGGCUAACUCCGUGCCAGCAGCCGCGGUAAUACGGAGGGUGCGAGCGUUAAUCGGAAUUACUGGGCGUAAAGCGUACGCAGGCGGUUUGUUAAGCGAGAUGUGAAAGCCCCGGGCUCAACCUGGGAACUGCAUUUCGAACUGGCAAACUAGAGUGUGAUAGAGGGUGGUAGAAUUUCAUGUGUAGCGGUGAAAUGCGUAGAGAUCUGAAGGAAUACCGAUGGCGAACGCAGCCACCUGGGUCAACACUGACGCUCAUGUACGAAAGCGUGGAGAGCAAACAAGAUUAUAUCUGCUGGUACUCA